GACGAACGCUGGCGGCGUGCUUAACACAUGCAAGUCGAACGGAAAGGCCCUGCUUUUGUGGGGUGCUCGAGUGGCGAACGGGUGAGUAACACGUGAGUAGCCUGCCCUGGACUUUGGGAUAACUUCAGGAAACUGGGGCUAAUACCGGAUAGGAGCUCCUGCUGCAUGGUGGGGGUUGGAAAGUUUCGGCGGUUGGGGAUGGACUCGCGGCUUAUCAGCUUGUUGGUGGGGUAGUGGCUUACCAAGGCUUUGACGGGUAGCCGGCCUGAGAGGGUGACCGGCCACAUUGGGACUGAGAUACGGCCCAGACUCCUACGGGAGGCAGCAGUGGGGAAUAUUGCACAAUGGGCGGAAGCCUGAUGCAGCAACGCCGCGUGCGGGAUGACGGCCUUCGGGUUGUAAACCGCUUUCGCCUGUGACGAAGCGUGAGUGACGGUAAUGGGUAAAGAAGCACCGGCUAACUACGUG
RNAcentral lists this ribosomal RNA (468 nucleotides) under uncultured bacterium. RNAcentral's name for it is "partial 16S ribosomal RNA". It matches the Rfam family "Bacterial small subunit ribosomal RNA", at positions 28 to 507 of the family's 1533-position model. The record is from RNAcentral.